Molecule: ribosomal RNA, 491 nt
Filed under: uncultured bacterium
Lineage: Bacteria
Description: partial 16S ribosomal RNA
Rfam family: Bacterial small subunit ribosomal RNA
Source: RNAcentral
AGUGAACGCUGGCGGUAGGCCUAACACAUGCCAGUCGAACGGCAGCACAGUAAGAGCUUGCUCUUACGGGUGGCGAGUGGCGGACGGGUGAGGAAUACAUCGGAAUCUACUUUUUCGUGGGGGAUAACGUAGGGAAACUUACGCUAAUACCGCAUACGACCUACGGGUGAAAGCAGGGGAUCUUCGGACCUUGCGCGAUUGAAUGAGCCGAUGUCGGGUUAGCUAGUUGGCGGGGUAAAGGCCCACCAAGGCGACGAUCCGUAGCUGGUCUGAGAGGAUGGUCAGCCACACUGGAACUGAGACACGGUCCAGACUCCUACGGGAGGCAGCAGGGGGGAAUAUUGGACAAUGGGCGCAAGCCUGAUCCAGCCAUACCGCGUGGGUGAAGAAGGCCUUCGGGUUGUAAAGCCCUUUUGUUGGGAAAGAAAAGCAGCAGGUUAAUACCCCGCUGUUCUGACGGUACCCAAAGAAUAAGCACCGGCUAACUUCGU